Molecule: regulatory RNA element, 84 nt
Organism: Rhizobacter sp. Root1221
Lineage: Bacteria; Pseudomonadati; Pseudomonadota; Betaproteobacteria; Burkholderiales; Sphaerotilaceae
Rfam family: SucA RNA motif
Source: Rfam
UCGCAAUCCGCAAACCGGUGCAGCCGUAACGCGGAAGGUUUAUCAACCCACUACAACGCCGGAAACCGGUGUGAAAGGUGAGCG